CGUCCACCAUCUCCCAGGAUAUCUAGUCAGGCUGACCCCCAUAAUACAAUUAUCUGUCUACACAAUCUUUCAUUUUUCCUUUUCCUCAAUCAGCAUCAUCAAUUCACAUUUAAACAAGCAAAUCGUAAUUCAUACCAAGCAGACAACAUACAGUAUCAGUUUUUCAGUCAUUCAACCCAUAAUUAAUAAAAACGUAGUAUAUGCA
RNAcentral lists this long non-coding RNA (205 nucleotides) under Carica papaya (papaya). Its description in RNAcentral is "long non-coding RNA (CPAP_LNC002059)". Lineage: Eukaryota; Viridiplantae; Streptophyta; Magnoliopsida; Brassicales; Caricaceae. The record is from RNAcentral.